Molecule: transfer RNA, 72 nt
Filed under: Bos taurus (domestic cattle)
Lineage: Eukaryota; Metazoa; Chordata; Mammalia; Artiodactyla; Bovidae
Also listed under: 5 other names
Rfam family: tRNA
About the family: Transfer RNA (tRNA) molecules are approximately 80 nucleotides in length. Their secondary structure includes four short double-helical elements and three loops (D, anti-codon, and T loops). Further hydrogen bonds mediate the characteristic L-shaped molecular structure. tRNAs have two regions of fundamental functional importance: the anti-codon, which is responsible for specific mRNA codon recognition, and the 3' end, to which the tRNAs corresponding amino acid is attached (by aminoacyl-tRNA synthetases). tRNAs cope with the degeneracy of the genetic code in two manners: having more than one tRNA (with a specific anti-codon) for a particular amino acid; and 'wobble' base-pairing, i.e. permitting non-standard base-pairing at the 3rd anti-codon position.
Source: Rfam by way of RNAcentral
UCCCUGACAAUCUAGUGAUUAGGAUUCAGCACUUUCACAGAUAUGUCCCAGGUUCAAUCCCUGGUCAGGGAA